UAUAUAUAUCAAAUACAAGUGCACAAGCUCGCUGGUUCCCUUGUUUUUGAAGGGCCAAUCUUCCUCACUGCUUUCAAUUGUUGACACAUCGUGUUACUGGAAGCUUCAAUCUGAAGGUUAAUGUGUUGGUAAAGCUUUACAAAUGUUUGUCUUCUUUUCCAAGGGAACAUAUGGGUUGGCACAGAAGUGGAUCAGCUCCAUUUACUCGAGUCUCUGGAAUCAGCUGAUUUGCUUGUGAAGAAUGUCAUGCACUAGUUUGCUUCAAGAAAUGCCAAUUACUCCAUCAUUGAUGAGACUCGAAUGACAAUACCCACUUUAUUGCUUGUGAUAUGCCUGUGUUUGCACAUGCUCAGCGCAGCCAAAGUUGAGAUUCAUUGUAAAAUUGGUAUAUUUAAACAAAAAAAAAGAAGAAAAUGUUACAUGUAUGGGUUGAAUAAUUAUGCACAGAGCUAGCUGAUAUAUCAGACAUCUCCUCGGUCGUUGGAAAGAUGUGGUUUGCAGUGAAAAGAAGAAUUAUCCUUGUAAUCCUUUGAGAGAACCAUCCAAAUGAUUUGGCCUCAAAAUACAUGAGCCGUCCUAUGAGAGGCAAAUAAUUGAGUUAAAAAGU
This is a long non-coding RNA of Musa acuminata subsp. malaccensis (wild Malaysian banana), 607 nucleotides long. RefSeq lists it as uncharacterized. NCBI's taxonomy places the organism in Eukaryota, Viridiplantae, Streptophyta, Magnoliopsida, Zingiberales, Musaceae. The record is from RefSeq and is a predicted model, not a curated record.